RNAcentral lists this ribosomal RNA (460 nucleotides) under uncultured bacterium. RNAcentral's name for it is "partial 16S ribosomal RNA". It matches the Rfam family "Bacterial small subunit ribosomal RNA", at positions 338 to 795 of the family's 1533-position model. The record is from RNAcentral.
CCUACGGGCGGCAGCAGUGAGGAAUAUUGGUCAAUGGGCGAGAGCCUGAACCAGCCAAGUCGCGUGAAGGAUGACGGCCCUACGGGUUGUAAACUUCUUUUGUCAGGGAGCAAUUGAGUCCACGUGUGGGCUUAGCGAGAGUACCUGAAGAAAAAGCAUCGGCUAACUCCGUGCCAGCAGACGCGGUAAUACGGAGGAUGCGAGCGGUAUCCGGAUUUAUGGGGUUAAAAGGGUGCGUAGGCGGAAUAGCCAGUCAGCGGUAAAAAUUCGGGGCUCAACCCCGACGUGCCGUUGAAACUGAUGUUCUUGAGUGGGCGAGAAGUGGGCAGAAUGCGUGGUGUAGCGGUGAAAUGCAUAGAUAUCACGCAGAACUCCGAUGGCGAAGGCAGCAUACCGGCGCCCGACUGACGCUGAAGCACGAAAGCGUGGGUAUCGAACAGGAUUAGAUACCCUAGUAGUC